Molecule: ribosomal RNA, 240 nt
Filed under: uncultured bacterium
Lineage: Bacteria
Description: partial 16S ribosomal RNA
Rfam family: Bacterial small subunit ribosomal RNA
Source: RNAcentral
GAUCAUGGCUCGGGAUGAACGCUGGCGGCGUGCCUAAUACAUGCAAGUCGAGCGAACCACUUCGGUGGUGAGCGGCGAACGGGUGAGUAACACGUAGGUGAUCUGCCCAUCAGACGGGGACAACGAUUGGAAACGAUCGCUAAUACCGGAUAGGACGAAAGUUUAAAGGUGCUUCUGGCACCGCUGAUGGAAUGAGCCUGCGGCGCAUUAGCUAGUUGGUAGGGUAAAGGCCUGCCAAGG